This is a long non-coding RNA of Cornus florida, 1152 nucleotides long. RefSeq lists it as uncharacterized. The transcript is spliced from 2 exons. NCBI's taxonomy places the organism in Eukaryota, Viridiplantae, Streptophyta, Magnoliopsida, Cornales, Cornaceae. The record is from RefSeq and is a predicted model, not a curated record.
AUCAAAGGUUGGAGGUGAAAUGGUGGAAAAAUGGUUGAAGUAAAAUGAAAAAGAAAAUAAAGGGAAAGAGAAGAGAGAAUAGUGAUGGAGUGGAGAAUGUGAGGAUUUUGGCUUGUCAUCCACUUUCUCUUUCUAUACACACACAUAUAUACAUAUCACACACAUUCUUAUCCACACAUAUCUCACCAACUAGUCAACCAUAAUCCCCAUAACAUAACAAAAUGCAAUAAUGUCCCAUAAAUGAAAAUAAUUUCUUACAAACAUAAAAUAAACACCACAAUUUCAUGAAUAAUGGUAAUGUAAUUUAAAAUAAAUUAAAAAAAAAAAAAAACAAAUACUCGGUCCUCACACGUCCACGUAGGUCACUACACAAACCAAGAGAGAAUGAGAGAAGGGUGAAGCCGAGAGAAAGACAAGGAGGCUGAGCAGGGAAGAAUGAAGGAAACUGGCAAGGAAGAAGGACAACGAUAACCCACAGUUGCCGGAGUUAGAGAAGAAAACCAAAGAGCUUGCGAUGUGAUUUUGGAUUCGAAAAUCUAAGAGUAUGGUCUUGGUGGUGGAGUAUCGACAAAAGGUGAUGUGUACAGUUAUGAAAUACUCUUGCUCGAGAUUGAUAUGAGGAAAGAGGCCAACUGAAGAGAUGUUCAUUGGGGAAUUGAAUCUUCAGAAGUGGGUAAGAGCAGCAGUUCCUGAUCGAGUGGAGGAGAUUCUGGAUGAGCAAUUGAUGGAAUAUUGUAAGGUUUGGGGCACGAAUCAAUUGAAAUGUGUCAUACAAAUUGGUUUAUCAUGUGCAAGUGAGGCACCAGAAGAGAGACCGGAAAUGAAAAAUGUCUCUGCAAUGAUGAAAAGGGUUAGGGGCACUCUCUUCACUGAAGCUGCUUAAAUCUGCUAUUUGCAUCGAUAGAUAUCCAAGGCCUUGAGCAAAUCACUUUGUUAACAAAUCUAUAGCUACAUAUGGUAGUGAGCACUGUCGAUUUAGACUGUCUUCUUGUUACUGAACAUCUUUAUGAUUGAUGUUUAGUUUCUCUCUCUUUUUCCUUUCCUUGUUUUUUUUUUUGGGCAAGCUUUACAAGUCGAGUAAGUUUGUGCCAACUAUGUCAAAAGCAGCAUAACCUGACUACUUGAAUAUCAUUUUUCUUUAUUUUAGAUUAA